Picea glauca (white spruce) is the source of this 123-nucleotide non-coding RNA. NCBI's taxonomy places the organism in Eukaryota, Viridiplantae, Streptophyta, Pinopsida, Pinales, Pinaceae. The record is from Rfam.
AUGUACAUUCUUACAAGAUAGCGUUAAUGCACCAGAUCCCAUUAGAACUCCACAUUUAAGCGUGCUUAGGCUAGAGUAGUAUUGGGAUGGGUGACCUCUCGGGAAGCCCUAGUGUUUUACAUG